GCACUGUGUCUUGGAAGAGUCUGGAUUGAUAAUAUUGGAGACCGGAUUGGUGGGACAGGGGAUGCACUGGAAGAGGGAGCCUGUGGAGUAACAGUGGGUGCUCUGUCCACCUCUCUUGCUUCGUCUGAAAGUUGAAAAUGAACACCAUACUUGAGUGGACCAUCUUCCCUGUAGGGAUCCACAUCUAAAGACUGGCAAGCAGUCAUUAGUGCCAGGGCAAAAGUCAAAAGAUCUACAGCUGUACGGAUAACCUGGGCCCAGGAAACAUUGCCUGGCACACAUCUCUACAGACGAUGCCUUCAGGACUAUAUCUGCUGCCCCUUCCACGAUUUGGCCUGGAGGUCACAGGUGGAG
Pomacea canaliculata is the source of this 354-nucleotide long non-coding RNA. RefSeq lists it as uncharacterized. The record is from RefSeq and is a predicted model, not a curated record. NCBI's taxonomy places the organism in Eukaryota, Metazoa, Mollusca, Gastropoda, Architaenioglossa, Ampullariidae. The transcript has 4 exons.